Pseudophryne corroboree (corroboree frog) is the source of this 119-nucleotide ribosomal RNA. The record is from RefSeq and is a predicted model, not a curated record. NCBI's taxonomy places the organism in Eukaryota, Metazoa, Chordata, Amphibia, Anura, Myobatrachidae.
AAUUACUGCCAUAUUUCAGCGGAAACGCCCAAUCUCAUCCGAUCUUGGAAGCUAAGCGUUGAUAAGCCUGAUUAGUACCCAGCUGGGUGACCACUUGGGAAUAUCAGGUGCAGUAAAGA